AGUGAACGCUGGCGGUAGGCCUAACACAUGCAAGUCGAACGGCAGCACAGUAAGAGCUUGCUCUUACGGGUGGCGAGUGGCGGACGGGUGAGGAAUACAUCGGAAUCUACUUUUUCGUGGGGGAUAACGUAGGGAAACUUACGCUAAUACCGCAUACGACCUACGGGUGAAAGCAGGGGAUCUUCUGACCUUGCGCGAUUGAAUGAGCCGAUGUCGGAUUAGCUAGUUGGCGGGGUAAAGGCCCACCAAGGCGACGAUCCGUAGCUGGUCUGAGAGGAUGAUCAGCGACACUGGAGCUGAAACACGGUCAAGACUCCUAAGGGAGGCAGCAGUGGGGAAUAUUGGACAAUGGGCGCAAGCCUGAUCCAGCCAUACCGCGUGGGUGAAGAAGGCCUUCGGGUUGUAAAGCCCUUUUGUUGGGAAAGAAAAGCAGCAGGUUAAUACCCCGCUGUUCUGACGGUACCCAAAGAAUAAGCACCGGCUAACUUCGUG
RNAcentral lists this ribosomal RNA (492 nucleotides) under uncultured bacterium. Its description in RNAcentral is "partial 16S ribosomal RNA". It matches the Rfam family "Bacterial small subunit ribosomal RNA", at positions 29 to 507 of the family's 1533-position model. The record is from RNAcentral.